Molecule: long non-coding RNA, 739 nt
Filed under: Nicotiana tabacum (common tobacco)
Lineage: Eukaryota; Viridiplantae; Streptophyta; Magnoliopsida; Solanales; Solanaceae
Description: long non-coding RNA (NTAB_LNC016251)
Source: RNAcentral
AUAAAUGAAGUUUAUGAAAUUGUAUCCGUAUGAGAAUAUUUGCAAUUUCAAAAACAAAUCUCUUAAAAGUAAAUAACCUUCUUCAAAGUUGGAAUUGUACAUGAAAAUCACUAAAGGUAAAUGGUAAGUGCCAAAUUUUCACAUUGCAAUCGGCAAGCAGACUACAAUAGGACUCUAGCCAUAGUGCUUGUAUAAUUAGCAGCUAGAUAAGAUGAGCUCUAGCACAAGGAGGAAAAUUGAACAUACUUUUACAGCCUGAAUUUAUUCCUUAAACGUAAACAAGAUGCACAAACGUUACAGGAUCGGAUAGUACUAACACUAUCCUGCCUAAAAGAGGGAGAUAUUUGCUUCUAGCUCAAGCUCGAGAUAAUACAGCAAAUGCUUUUAUGAAGCACGGGAUGGCAUACCACGGCCUCUGCCUCUACCUCCAUAACCAUAACCAUACCCAUUUCCUCCAUUUCCACCGUAUCCUCCAUUUCCACCGUAUCCUCCAUAUCCUCCUCUUCCAUAAUACGAACCUCGAGAACGUCCACCACGUCCAGGACCACGACCACCACGGCCACCCCUGUAUCUUGAGAAGUCUCCAAAUGUCUGCACCCACCAAAAAAAAAAAAAGAUUAGCUCAUUGAAAAAGAACCAUAGCCAGGAAAGUAGUGCAUAAGAAUCAGAUAUACCUCAACGUCUAUCUUCCUUUGCUCAGAGAACCUGGUCCUUCCAUGAUUUGGGUCAUUAUCAAGUG